This is an unclassified non-coding RNA of Drosophila serrata, 1457 nucleotides long. The record is from RefSeq and is a predicted model, not a curated record. Lineage: Eukaryota; Metazoa; Arthropoda; Insecta; Diptera; Drosophilidae.
ACGGAUGGCUGCUGAUCGAUCGCGUGGUCCAGCAGGUUGUGCUGCAGGUGGACCAGCGGCCAAGCAGCGAUCUUAUAUCCGAUCCCGAUCCGGUCAAAUGCCGCUGGUGGAUUAAGAAGUGCGACGACUCAGAAACGUCCAACUGGAUCGCGGCCAAUACCAAAGAAUGUGAUCAUAGAGAAAGAAGGCGGCUGCAACCAUAUGGUGUGCAAGAACAAGUUCUGUUGGGUCUGCCUCGGCUUCUGGGAGCCGCACAGCUCCUCCUGGUACAACUGUAACCGGUACGAUGAGAGGAGGCCAAGGCACCUCGUGAUGCCCAGGAGAAGUUGCGCUCAUCCCUGGCCAGGAUUCCCCACUACGAGUAAAGGCUGAAGAGUCUCCAGUACAGGAAGCGCUUUAUGCCGACGGUCAACGAUCUUAUACACCGCAUCGCCAGAUGCAUUUUUAAUAACCACAGGCAACUACAUGAACCGCAGGGCGCGUGACCCACACCAAGUCCAGUGCCGCCAAGGGCACCACCCUGCUGCAGUAUCUCGUCCAGGUAAUCGAGAGUAAAUUCAUGGAUCCACUGGAGCUGGAGGAUCAUAUUCCGUAUGCCCGUGAGGCUUCCAAGGUGUCGCUGGGCGAGAUGGACAAGGAUAUCCAGAUGCUGCGCACCGGCCUGGCGGAUGUGGCACGCGAAAUCGAGUUUCAUCGAACUUUGCCCUUCAUGCGGGAGUUCCACGCUCGGUCCACUUUGCGGAGCUGGAGGACAAGUUCCAGGACAUAAAGACCCGCUUCGAUCACGCCCUGCGUCUGUUCGGCGAGGAUGGUUCGAUCGGUAUCAUCGCUUGCUUAUUGCGCAGCAGAAGCGGGCCCGUCUCGAGCAUCUGGUCACCGAGUACAGCAUACCUGAUGGCCAGAAGGUGGCCGGUCUGACUGGCUGCAAUGGAGCAGUGUAGCCACCGCCGCGGCCGCCCUCGGCCAUGGUCAUGGCCAUACCGCCGCCACCACCAAAAUGGCGCCGGCCAUAAUGCCGCCACCGCCAAAAUGGCGCCGGCCAGGAUGCCAGCACCACCGCCGGCCGGGUGCACCGCCUUCGCCACCGUGGAUGACGCCAGCAAUGGGUGGAGCCGCCAAAGAAGAACGUGCCACAGCCCACGAAUCCAUUAAAGAGCCUCAAAUGGUCCAAGCUGCCGGAUGCCAAGCUCCAGGGCACCGUCUAGAGCGAGCUUGACGAAAGCAAACUGUAUAUCAACAUGGAGUUGGAGUCGAUAGACAAGUUAUUUUCGGCUUACCAAAAGAAUGGGGUAUCGGUGAGUGCCUAGGAGAGAUUCCGCUGAAAGAAAGAAAGAGGAGCAACUGACGCAGGCAGGCAAGCGCGAUGAUGAGCUGGAACGUGAGAACUUUGAUGUGCAGGAUCUUGAAACGGGUCAGCAUUCGCAGGCGGUGCAGCGCGUGCAGGCCGCCGAAAUGAA